GUCCGGGUGGUGGAAUUGGUAGACACGCAAGCUUGAGGUGCUUGUGGGAGUAAUCCCGUGGGGGUUCAAGUCCCCCCUCGGGCA
This 84-nucleotide transfer RNA is filed under the name Spirochaetia bacterium. RNAcentral describes it as "tRNA-Leu". It matches the Rfam family "tRNA". Rfam says of the family: Transfer RNA (tRNA) molecules are approximately 80 nucleotides in length. Their secondary structure includes four short double-helical elements and three loops (D, anti-codon, and T loops). The record is from RNAcentral. Lineage: Bacteria; Pseudomonadati; Spirochaetota; Spirochaetia.